UGCAGUCGGACGGGAUUGAGGAGCUUGCUUCUCAUGAGAGUGGCGCACGGGUGCGUAACACGUAUGUAACCUACCUUGUUCAGGGGGAUAGCCUCUCGAAAGAGAGAUUAACACCGCAUAAAAUCAAUUUAUGGCAUCAUAGAAUGAUCAAAUAUUUAUAGGAACAAGAUGGGCAUGCGGAACAUUAGCUAGUUGGUAAGGUAACGGCUUACCAAGGCUACGAUGUUUAGGGGAUCUGAGAGGAUGACCCCCCACACUGGUACUGAGACACGGACCAGACUCCUACGGGAGGCAGCAGUAAGGAAUAUUGGUCAAUGGACGCAAGUCUGAACCAGCCAUGCCGCGUGCAGGAAGACGGCCCUACGGGUUGUAAACUGCUUUUGUACCGGAAUAAACCUUUUCACGUGUGAGAAGCUGAAUGUACGGUAAGAAUAAGGAUCGGCUAACUCCGUGCCAGCAGCCGCGGUAAUACGGAGGAUCCAAGCGUUAUCCGGAUUUAUUGGGUUUAAAGGGUGCGUAGGUGGCCUAUUAAGUCAGGGGUGAAAGACGGUAGCUUAACUAUCGCAGUGCCUUUGAUACUGAUGGGCUUGAAUACACUUGAGGUAGGCGGAAUGUGACAAGUAGCGGUGAAAUGCAUAGAUAUGUCACAGAACACCAAUUGCGAAGGCAGCUUACUAAAGUGUUAUUGACACUGAGGCACGAAAGCGUGGGGAUCAAACAGGAUUAGAUACCCUGGUAGUCCACGCCCUAAACGAUGAAUACUCGAUGUUGGCGAUAUACGGUCAGCGUCUAAGCGAAAGCGUUAAGUAUUCCACCUGGGGAGUACGCCCGCAAGGGUGAAACUCAAAGGAAUUGACGGGGGCCCGCACAAGC
RNAcentral lists this ribosomal RNA (873 nucleotides) under uncultured bacterium. Its description in RNAcentral is "bacterial SSU rRNA". It matches the Rfam family "Bacterial small subunit ribosomal RNA", at positions 56 to 930 of the family's 1533-position model. The record is from RNAcentral.